CUAUUAGAAAUAUAGUAUUAAAGAAGAAAACUGAUAUAUAAUUAUUAAUUAUAAAUAUAUAAGUAUAUAAAGAAACUAUUAUGGAAUUUAAGCUAUGUAUUAAAGAGAAUUAGUUAUGUAAAUAAGAUAAAAAUCUUAUAAAUAUAUAAACUCUAAGAGAAAUUCAAUACUAAACGAAGUGAAUUGAAAUAUCUUAGUAACUUCAGGAAAAGAAAUCAAAAGAGAUUCUAUGAAUAGCGUGAGCAAAAGUAGAGGAGCCUAAAAAGUAGAACGGUCUCAAAACUGUUUAAAUCUUGGGGAACCUUCCUCAAAGGCUAAAUAUAAUACAUAAGCGAUAGUGAAAAGUACCAUGAGGGAACAAAAAUAAAAAUAGUAGUUUUAUAAGCAGUUCGAUAAAAAGAACGUACCUUUUGCAUAAUGGGUCACCAAGUUAACAUUAGAUGCGAGCUGUAUUAGCAUGCGUAGUUAAACCGAAGGUUGAAAUAACGAAUAAGUGUCUAAAGUUAGACCCGAAGCCAGGUGAUUUUACCAUAGUCAGGAUUAUAAAAGUCCGAACGGGUGAUUGUAGCAAAAAUCUCCGAAGAACUGUGGUAGGUGUAGUGAAAGACAACACUGACUUGGAUAGCUGGUUUUCUGCGAAACCUAUAAUAGUAGGCAAUUUAAAUAAACAUCUUAGCAGGUACAGAAUUUAAUCUCAGACAAGGCGUUUUAUACGUUUUAUAUUGUACAAAUUGGGGGACCAUGAAGGUUUUAUCAGUGAGUAUGUAGACUCGGAAUGGUAAAGAUGUAUUUUGAAUGAUCAGACAUAGAAUGAUAAGGUUGUAUGUCGAAAGGGAGACAGCCCAGAACAAGAGUUAAGGUUCCUAAAUUAUUAGUUGAGUGAAAUUAAGAAGGUUUUUAUUAAAGUCGACAAGGAGAUAGGCUUAGAAGCAGCCAUAAUUUUAUGACCUCGUAACAGAGCGCUUGUUAAGUUAUAAAAGCAUCGAAAAUAUAACGGAUCUAAACAAUAUACCGAAACCUUGUCCAUUAUACAUUAUAACAAUAGUAUUAUUAUAAUUCAAUGGGGUAGCAGAACGUUGAGUUAAAUUAUGAAUUUUAUUUUUUAAAUAGAAUGAUAACGAUUUAACUCAAGUGAGAAUGGUGACAUGAGUAACUAAAAGAAAAUUUUCCGCCUUAAGCUUAUGGAUAUAUUUAAGUAACGGCCUCUAAGUUUAUAAUAUCUAAAGAUUUAAACGAUGAGAAAAUCUUUUUUACUAAGGACGACAUUUUAGUAUAAAAUGUACUGGAAAAAUAGUAAAUAUAUUUAUAGUUAGUUUCUAUAAAUGAAGAAUAACCGUACCUAGACUCUGAAACAAGUAAGCUAGUAGAGAAUACGAAGGCGUAAAUGAGCUAACAAUCAUAAAGGAACUCGGCAAAUUGACUACCGUAACUUCGGAAUAAGGAGGGCUCAUUAUUCUUGAUUAAUAUCAAGUAAAGAGGAAGAAGCAUGAAAUAAUGUUGUACGACUGUUUAAUUAAAACACAGCACUCUGCUGAAAGAUCAAAAAUCUAAGUAUAGAGUGUGAUAUCUGCCCGGUGCCGGCUGGUUAACAGAGAUAAUUGAAUAUACUACUAUUUGAUGUCGACGGAAACCCCGGUUAAAGGCGGCCUUAACGUGAGGGUCCUAAGGUAGCGAAAUGCCUUGGCCGUUAAAUGCGGUCUUGCAUGAAUGGUGUAACGAUACAACAGCUGUCUCUAUGAUUGACUCAGUGAAAUUGGAAUAGCAGUGCAGAUACUGCUUACCUCUAGUUAGACGAGAAGACCCUAUGCAGCUUUACUGUCACUAAUUAUAGAUUAUGAUAGACAAUUUUCAGAUUAUAAGGUAAUUGAUUUAUGACCAUGAGAAACCUUUAUUUUUCUUUCAUAUGAAUGAAUUGAUUUAGGAGUAUGAGUAGAUUGUAAUUUAUGUGGCUUUACUGAGCCAAUUUGUUAAAUUAUAGUCUGUAUGCUUAUACUAGUAAAUCAGCCUAAUUCAACUUACUAUAAUAAAUAUAGUAAGUACCCUUUGGUAAGGAACUAUCGCUAGGGGACAGUUUAUGUGGGGCACAGACCCUGUAAAGAGUAAACAGGAGUGUCUAAAAAUUUAUAAAUAUUUUGUUUGCUAUUAAGAAUAGUUGAACUAUUCUUAAUCAUAUACAAUUGAUUAUAUUUGCAUUUAUUGUAAAUAUAGUUAAAAUUAGGUAGGAUUUUCACUAUAUAGAAAUUAGAGAUAUUAAAGAUAUUAUGGAAACAUAAGCUUUUCGAAUAUUUUUUAGCUAUCUUAUAGAUAGUUAUGAUUAGAAUAUCUAAAAAGCUCAACGGCUUAAUCCUGCCUUACUGUUUGAUUAUCUACAAAUCUUACAGUUGCGUAAGCAGGGCAUAGGAUCACAAGAUGCAACAAGGAAAGAUCUUGGAUUAUUGGAAAAGCUACGCUAGGGAUAACAGGCUAAUUUGCGCAAGAGUGUACAAAAUGAGUGCGCGGUUUGGCACCUCGAUGUCGGCUUAACUUAUCCUCAUGGACGCAGGAACUAUGUAGGGUGCGACUGUUCGUCGAUUAAAAAGUUACAUGAGCUGGGUUAAAUACGUCGUGAGACAGUAUGGUUUCUAUCUUCUAGGGGGAAUUAGAAUAAAAUAAGAACUAACUUUUGUACGCAAGGAACAAGAAGAGUUUAACAUUGUUAAACUAUGGUUACUAACCUAUGGUUUACCUGUUGUUUAUGUGCCCAAAUAUUAAAUUUAUAUACUUUUAUAUAUAUUUCUGUAUUAUUUCGGUAAUACAUAGGGAUGUAUCUUUUACUAAGAUAAUGUAUAGCAUAAGCACGGCAGGAAAGCUAAGUUGGUUAAGGAUAAGUGCUGAAAGCAUAUAGGCACGAAGCUUAUCUUAAGAUAUUUCUUAAAUAUACGUAGCAUAAUACUACAAAUUUAUAGGCUUUAUCCGUAAGAAUCUAGAGAUUUUUAAGAUUAAAGUACUAAUUUAAUAAUUUACUAUUUAUACAUAUAUCA
RNAcentral lists this ribosomal RNA (3020 nucleotides) under Metarhizium album. RNAcentral's name for it is "large subunit ribosomal RNA". It matches the Rfam family "Bacterial large subunit ribosomal RNA". Lineage: Eukaryota; Fungi; Ascomycota; Sordariomycetes; Hypocreales; Clavicipitaceae. The record is from RNAcentral.